This 430-nucleotide ribosomal RNA is filed under the name Idas sp. ESU E. RNAcentral describes it as "partial 16S ribosomal RNA". It matches the Rfam family "Bacterial large subunit ribosomal RNA", at positions 1923 to 2600 of the family's 2925-position model. Lineage: Eukaryota; Metazoa; Mollusca; Bivalvia; Mytilida; Modiolidae. The record is from RNAcentral.
GUAAAUGGCUGCAUAAACCUGAGUGUACUAAGGUAGCGCUAUAAUUUGCCCUUUAAAUGGGGGCUGGUAUGAAUGGGUUCACGUGAGAGUUGCUGUGUCGCAAAAAAUUCUUUGAAAUUAACUUUUAGGUGAAGAGGCCUAGUUGAACAUAUAGGACGACAAGACCCUAGAAGCUUGACUAUGAGUGACUUAUUUAUUAAAUUGCUUUAGUUUUGUUGGGGCAACAAAGUUAGUAUGUAUAACUUUUUUAUAUUAACCUACCGGUUAAAUCCACAUUAGUGAAUAAGAUAAGCUACUCUAGGGAUAACAGCGUUAUUUUUUUUAAUAGUACGUAUUGUAAAAAAAGUUUGCGACCUCGAUGUUGGAUUAAGGUGUCCUUAAGACGCAGAAGUCUUAGAGGGUUGGCCUGUUCGUCCAUUAAAACCUUACA